ACCUAGGUGGCUCAGCUGGUUAAGCGUCUGACUUUAGCUCAGAUCACGAUCUCACAGUUUGUGAGUUCAAACCCCACAUUGGGCU
RNAcentral lists this transfer RNA (85 nucleotides) under Felis catus (domestic cat). It matches the Rfam family "tRNA". From Rfam's summary of the family: Transfer RNA (tRNA) molecules are approximately 80 nucleotides in length. Their secondary structure includes four short double-helical elements and three loops (D, anti-codon, and T loops). The record is from Rfam by way of RNAcentral. Lineage: Eukaryota; Metazoa; Chordata; Mammalia; Carnivora; Felidae.